UACUUGAGUUGACUUGAGCUCAUGGGAUGAAGCGGACUCUAUGAUUAUGUCAUAAUUUUUGGAAUGGGAUGAAGCGGACUCUAUGAUUAUGUCAUGGUUAUGGAAUUCUACGACUCCAGAAAUUAACUAUACUUUCAUGUUCCUAUCUACUGCAAAUGAAAUAUGGGAUGCCACUAGGCAAACAUUCUCAAAAGCUCGGGUUGCUGCUCAAAUCUUCGAAAUUAAGAUAUCAUCAUAAAUUGGGACACUGGCCGAUACAAUGAAUGUUGGAGCAGAUACUUUUGUCAUCUUAUUAUCAUCAAAUCAUCCUUGUUAUGUUGAUGCAGACUGAAAGAACAGGUUUGGUAGUACCAGUUAUCAUAUCUCUUUAAAUAGGUUGCUUUACUUGUAAAGUAACUUGGAAGUUCCUGAAAUUCUUACUGGUGCAACGUCUUUUCAUUAAAUAAUCCUUUUCCAACCUGUUCAAAUUUCAUACAGUCGCACAACUUGUAAACGAGCAAAAGUUAUUGGCUCCACACCUAGUAAGACACCGAGGCUACAGAUCACGCUAUAGCCAUUGUACAGCUUACUCCUGCCAACUAGAAUUUCUGUCACUCUUUGACUAGCUUAUAGCUGUUCAGCUUUGGAAAAUUAUCAUGUUAUUGUUCCAGCCCCUAUUGCAAAGUUGAACUGUACCAAUGAAGAGCUUAUUUGCUUGGGCUUA
This is a long non-coding RNA of Dendrobium catenatum, 703 nucleotides long. RefSeq lists it as uncharacterized. Lineage: Eukaryota; Viridiplantae; Streptophyta; Magnoliopsida; Asparagales; Orchidaceae. The transcript has 2 exons. The record is from RefSeq and is a predicted model, not a curated record.